RNAcentral lists this unclassified non-coding RNA (240 nucleotides) under soil metagenome. RNAcentral describes it as "partial contains 5.8S ribosomal RNA, internal transcribed spacer 2, and large subunit ribosomal RNA". The record is from RNAcentral.
AACGGUCUAUACCUGCGGUACCUGCGGAGGGAUCAUUAAUGAGAAACUGCCCCUCGCGGGUAGAUCUCCCACCCUUUGUAAACUUACCUUUGUUGCUUUGGCAGGCCCGUCUCCGGACCGCCGGCUUCGGCUGGCCAGUGCCUGCCAGAGGAUUCUAAAACUCUGUCUGUCAGUGUUGUCUGAGUCUAUAUACAAUCGUUAAAACUUUUAACAACGGAUCUCUAGAUCGGAAGAGCACAC